GACGAACGCUGGCGGCGUGCCUAAUACAUGCAAGUAGAACGCUGAAGGAGGAGCUUGCUUCUCUGGAUGAGUUGCGAACGGGUGAGUAACGCGUAGGUAACCUGCCUGGUAGCGGGGGAUAACUAUUGGAAACGAUAGCUAAUACCGCAUAAUAGUAGAUGUUGCAUGAAAUUUGCUUAAAAGGUGCAAUUGCAUCACUACCAGAUGGACCUGCGUUGUAUUAGCUAGUUGGUGGGGUAACGGCUCACCAAGGCGACGAUACAUAGCCGACCUGAGAGGGUGAUCGGCCACACUGGGACUGAGACACGGCCCAGACUCCUACGGGAGGCAGCAGUAGGGAAUCUUCGGCAAUAGACGGAAGUCUGACCGAGCAACGCCGCGUGAGUGAAGAAGGUUUUCGGAUCGUAAAGCUCUGUUGUAAGAGAAGAACGAGUGUGAGAGUGGAAAGUUCACACUGUGACGGUAUCUUACCAGAAAGGGACGGCUAACUACGUG
RNAcentral lists this ribosomal RNA (495 nucleotides) under uncultured bacterium. Its description in RNAcentral is "partial 16S ribosomal RNA". It matches the Rfam family "Bacterial small subunit ribosomal RNA", at positions 28 to 507 of the family's 1533-position model. The record is from RNAcentral.